Molecule: ribosomal RNA, 253 nt
Filed under: uncultured bacterium
Lineage: Bacteria
Description: partial 16S ribosomal RNA
Rfam family: Bacterial small subunit ribosomal RNA
Source: RNAcentral
UACGGAGGAUCCAAGCGUUAUCCGGAUUUAUUGGGUUUAAAGGGUGCGUAGGCGGCUUUUUAAGUCAGGGGUGAAAGACGGUGGCUCAACCAUCGCAGUGCCUUUGGUACUGAAGAGCUUGAUUAAACUUGAGGUAGGCGGAAUGUGACAAGUAGCGGUGAAAUGCAUAGAUAUGUCACAGAACACCGAUUGCGAAGGCAGCUUACUAAGGUUUGAAUGACGCUGAGGCACGAAAGCGUGGGGAUCAAACAGG